Long non-coding RNA from Solea solea (common sole), 603 nucleotides. RefSeq lists it as uncharacterized. The transcript has 2 exons. NCBI's taxonomy places the organism in Eukaryota, Metazoa, Chordata, Actinopteri, Pleuronectiformes, Soleidae. The record is from RefSeq and is a predicted model, not a curated record.
UGAUACUGACUCGACUCAGGCUUUGUCUUCCAUUUUGAGCCUGUGGACAAAACAAAAGGAAUAAAAAGGUUCACGUCGUCAUCAUAGUGUGGCUUAUACAGUGGCUUAUGUUUGAUGCUUUUGUGUUUUACAGGCGGCUGUUGUUAAAGAUGAGUCAAAAGCUGUAUGUGUGAGGAAUCAUGGGAUAUGAAACCGAUUAGGAGGCAAAAAAAACAACUGACAAAGAUUUUCUGCAACAGUGGAAAAAACUGGCAUCAAAAGUUGAACAUGCGUGAGAUGAAUGGAUGGCAUGGACGCGCACAGAACUUACCGCUGCUGCCGUCUGUGCCAGUCUUGGGGAGACCCUGCAGGCCUGGAGGGAGCGAGUGCUGCAGCAGGUGCAUGUGGAAGUCGUUCUCGCUCUGAACGGCCUUCUGUAUGCGCAGCUUGAAGAUGUUGGUGAAGUAGCAGGUGGCGUCAAAGCCCAGGUAUACGACAGGAUAUCCAAUGCUAGAGGUGAGCGCAGAAGGACAAACGACGACGGAAGUAUUCAAAUGGCUGACAGACCUCUGUCAUUAACGGCUACUCUGUUAAAUUAAAUGAUGCUGUGAUCGCUCAAUUUCA